Molecule: ribosomal RNA, 533 nt
Filed under: uncultured eukaryote
Lineage: Eukaryota
Description: bacterial SSU rRNA
Rfam family: Eukaryotic small subunit ribosomal RNA
Source: RNAcentral
GGUCGCAAGGCCGAAACUUAAAGGAAUUGACGGAAGGGCACCACCAGGAGUGGAAUCUGCGGCUUAAUUUGACUCAACGCGGGAAAACUCACCAGGUCAGGACACGGUAAGGAUUGACGGACUGAAGGCUCUUUCUCGAUUCCGUGGAAAGUGGUGCAUGGCCGUUUUUGGUUGGUGGAUCGAUCCGUCUGGUUAAUUCCGUUAACGAACGAGACCUCGGCACUCCGAAUAGCGCGGCGGACGUCGCGGCCUCCGGGCCGUCUUCCGCACGAGCUUCUUAGAGGGACCGUCCCCCGCCGGGGAAGGAGGUGCGAGGCAACGACAGGUCUGUGAUGCCCUUAGAUGUUCUGGGCCGCACGCGCAUUACACUGACGCGUCCAACGGGUGACUCCCGACCCGAAGGGGCCGGGGAAUCCGCAAGGCGCGUCGUGAUGGGGAUUGAACGUUGCAAUUGUUGUUCACGAACGAGGAAUUCCUAGUAGGCGCGGGUCAUCAACCCGCGCCGAUUACGUCCCUGCCCUUUGUACACACCG